RNAcentral lists this ribosomal RNA (253 nucleotides) under uncultured bacterium. RNAcentral's name for it is "partial 16S ribosomal RNA". It matches the Rfam family "Bacterial small subunit ribosomal RNA", at positions 524 to 776 of the family's 1533-position model. The record is from RNAcentral.
UACGGAGGGGGCAAGCGUUAUUCGGAAUCAUUGGGCGUAAAGGGCGCGUAGGCGGCUUGGCAAGUCAAAGGUGAAAUCCCUCGGCCUAACCGAGGAACUGCCUUUGAAACUGCUUGGCUUGAGGCCGGGAGAGGGUAGCGGAAUUCCCAGUGUAGCGGUGAAAUUCGUAGAUAUCGAGAGGAACACCGGUGGCGAAGGCGGCCAACUGGACGAAGACUGACGCUGAGACACGAAAGCGUGGGGAGCAAACAGG